UACGGAGGGUGCAAGCGUUAAUCGGAAUUACUGGGCGUAAAGCGUGCGUAGGUGGUUUGUUAAGUCCGUUGUGAAAGCCCCGAGCUCAACUUGGGAAUUGCAGUGGAUACUGGCAAGCUGGAGUGCGGUAGAGGAAGGUGGAAUUCCCGGUGUAGCGGUGAAAUGCGUAGAGAUCGGGAAGAACACCCGUGGCGAAGGCGGCUCUCUGGGACGGUACUGACGCUGAGACGCGAAAGCGUGGGGAGCGAACAGG
Molecule: ribosomal RNA, 253 nt
Filed under: uncultured bacterium
Lineage: Bacteria
Description: partial 16S ribosomal RNA
Rfam family: Bacterial small subunit ribosomal RNA
Source: RNAcentral